GACGAACGCUGGCGGCGUGCCUAAUACAUGCAAGUCGAACGGUCUUUCUAUGGAAGCUUGCUUCCACUGAGAAGAUAGUGGCGAACGGGUGAGUAACACGUGGGUAACCUGCCCAUAAGAGGGGGGAUAACAUCCGGAAACGGGUGCUAAUACCGCAUAGUUUUCUUGAUUGCAUGAUUGAGAAAGGAAAGACGGCCUUUGUGCUGUCGCUUAUGGAUGGACCCGCGGCGUAUUAGUUAGUUGGUGAGGUAACGGCUCACCAAGACGAUGAUACGUAGCCGACCUGAGAGGGUGAUCGGCCACAUUGGGACUGAGACACGGCCCAAACUCCUACGGGAGGCAGCAGUAGGGAAUCUUCCGCAAUGGACGAAAGUCUGACGGAGCAACGCCGCGUGAGUGAAAGAAGGUUUUCGGAUCGUAAAACUCUGUUGUCAGAGAAGAACAAGUUGGAGAGUAACUGCUCCAGCCUUGACGGUAUCUGACCAGAAAGCCACGGCUAACUACGUGCCAGCCGCCGC
RNAcentral lists this ribosomal RNA (518 nucleotides) under uncultured bacterium. Its description in RNAcentral is "bacterial SSU rRNA". It matches the Rfam family "Bacterial small subunit ribosomal RNA", at positions 28 to 518 of the family's 1533-position model. The record is from RNAcentral.